Molecule: ribosomal RNA, 406 nt
Filed under: uncultured bacterium
Lineage: Bacteria
Description: partial 16S ribosomal RNA
Rfam family: Bacterial small subunit ribosomal RNA
Source: RNAcentral
AUUGAACGCUGGCGGCAGGCCUAACACAUGCAAGUCGAACGAGUGGCGGAAGGGUGAGUAAUGUCUGGGAAACUGCCUGAUGGAGGGGGAUAACUACUGGAAACGGUAGCUAAUACCGCAUACCAUCAGCUGUGCCCAGAUGGGAUUAGCUUGUUUGUGGGGUACCGGCUCACCAAGGAGCCGUUCCCUCGCUGGGCUGAGAGGAUGACCUGCCACACGUGAACUGAGACACGGUCCAGACUCCUACGGUAGGCAGCAGUGGGGAAUAUUGCACAAUGGGCGCAAGCCUGAUGCAGCCAUGCCGCGUGUAUGAAGAAGGCCUUCGGGUUGUAAAGUACGUUCAGCGAGGAGGCGUUACCCGCAGAAGAAGCACCGGCUAACUCCGUGCCAGCAGCCGCGGUAAUAC